AACCAACCUUGAUUCUCGAGUGAAGGGCUUGAGUAAGAGCAUAAUUGGUAGGACCCGAAAGAUGGUGAACUACGGUUGAGUAGGGGUGAAGCCAGGGGAAACUCUGGUGGAGGCUCGAAGAGUUACUGACGUGCAAAUCGUUCUUCAAACUUGACUGUAGGGGCGAAAGACUAAUCGAACCAUCUAGUAGCUGGUUCCCUCUGAAAUUUCUCUCAGGAUAGCAGGAACAGAUUAUACAGUUUUAUCAGGUAAAGCUAAUGAUUAGUGGACUCGGGGGUCUGAGACUCUCGACCAAUUCUCAAACUUUAAAUUGGUAAGAACCUUUAGUUAUCUUAAUUGAACUGAAGGGAUGAAUGUAUUGUUCUUAGUGGGCCAUUUUUGGUAAGCAGAACUGGCGAUGAGGGAUGAACCUAACGUUGAGAUAAGGUGCCCAAAUUCACGC
RNAcentral lists this ribosomal RNA (442 nucleotides) under uncultured eukaryote. RNAcentral's name for it is "eukaryotic LSU rRNA". It matches the Rfam family "Eukaryotic large subunit ribosomal RNA", at positions 763 to 1200 of the family's 3401-position model. The record is from RNAcentral.